AGAGUUUGAUCCUGGCUCAGGAUGAACGCUAGCGACAGGCUUAACACAUGCAAGUCGAGGGGCAGCGGUGGUGAAGGCUUGCCUUUACCAGCCGGCGACCGGCGCACGGGUGAGUAACACGUAUGCAACCUGCCUGCCACAGCCGGAUAAUCGGGAGAAAUUCCGUCUAAUACGGCAUAAUGCACCUAUGGGACAUCCUGUUGGUGCCAAAGGUUGAUUCCGGUGGCGGAUGGGCAUGCGUCGCAUUAGUUAGUUGGCGGUGUAACGGACCACCAAGACGACGAUGCGUAGGGGUUCUGAGAGGAAGGUCCCCCACACUGGUACUGAGACACGGACCAGACUCCUACGGGAGGCAGCAGUGAGGAAUAUUGGUCAAUGGGCGGGAGCCUGAACCAGCCAAGUCGCGUGAGGGAUGACGGCCCUAUGGGUUGUAAACCUCUUUUGCCGGGGAGCAAAGUGCCGCACGUGUGCGGUUUGGAGAGUACCCGGAGAAAAAGCAUCGGCUAACUCCGUGCCAGCAGCCGCGGUAAUACGGAGGAUGCGAGCGUUAUCCGGAUUUAUUGGGUUUAAAGGGUGCGUAGGCGGACGCUUAAGUCAGCGGUAAAAUUGCGGGGCUCAACCUCGUCGAGCCGUUGAAACUGGGUGCCUUGAGUGGGCGAGAAGUACGCGGAAUGCGUGGUGUAGCGGUGAAAUGCAUAGAUAUCACGCAGAACUCCGAUUGCGAAGGCAGCGUACCGGCGCCCAACUGACGCUGAAGCACGAAGGCGUGGGUAUCGAACAGGAUUAGAUACCCUGGUAGUCCACGCAGUAAACGAUGAAUGCUAGUUGUCCGGGGCGAUUGAGUUCUGGGUGACACAGCGAAAGCGUUAAGCAUUCCACCUGGGGGGUACGCCGGCAACGGUGAAACUCAAAGGAAUUGACGGGGGCCCGCACAAGCGGAGGAACAUGUGGUUUAAUUCGAUGAUACGCGAGGAACCUUACCCGGGCUCAAACGCAGGAGGGAUGUUUUUGAAAGGAGGCAGCCAGCAAUGGUCUCCUGCGAGGUGCUGCAUGGUUGUCGUCAGCUCGUGCCGUGAGGUGUCGGCUUAAGUGCCAUAACGAGCGCAACCCCUACCUACAGUUGCCAUCGCGUGAUGGCGGGCACUCUGUGGGGACUGCCUGCGCAAGCAGUGAGGAAGGCGGGGAUGACGUCAAAUCAGCACGGCCCUUACGUCCGGGGCGACACACGUGUUACAAUGGCAGGUACAGCGGGAAGCCACCCGGCGACGGGGCGCGGAACCCGAAAACCUGUCUCAGUUCGGAUUGGAGUCUGCAACCCGACUCCAUGAAGCUGGAUUCGCUAGUAAUCGCGCAUCAGCCACGGCGCGGUGAAUACGUUCCCGGGCCUUGCACACAACGCCCGUCA
RNAcentral lists this ribosomal RNA (1405 nucleotides) under uncultured bacterium. RNAcentral describes it as "16S ribosomal RNA". It matches the Rfam family "Bacterial small subunit ribosomal RNA". The record is from RNAcentral.